GACGAACGCUGGCGGCGUGCCUAAUUCAUUCAAGUUGAGCGAUGAAUAUUGGUGCUUGCACCAAUUUGAAGAGCAGCGGACGUGUGAGUCACGCUUGGGGCAUCUGCCUUUGAGCGGGGGACCACAUUUGGACACGAAUGCUAAUACCGCAUAACAACUUUAAACAUAAGUUUUAAUUUUGAAAGAUGCACUUGCAUCACUCAAAUAUGAUCCCUCGUUGUAUUAGCUAGUUGGUGAGGUAAAGGCUCACCAAGGCGAUGAUACAUAGCCGACCUGAGCGGGUGAUCGGCCACAUUGAGACUGAGACAAGGCCCAAAAACAUACGGAAAGCCGCACUAGUGAACAUUCGGCAAUGGAAGAAAGUCCGACCAAGCAAAGACGUGUGAGUGAAGAAGGUUUUAGGAUAGUAAAACUAUGUGGGGAGAGAAGAACGUGGGUAAAAGUGGAAAGCGCAGCAAGGGACGGGAGAUACCGAGAAAGGGAGGGCUAAAUACAUG
RNAcentral lists this ribosomal RNA (497 nucleotides) under uncultured bacterium. RNAcentral describes it as "partial 16S ribosomal RNA". It matches the Rfam family "Bacterial small subunit ribosomal RNA", at positions 28 to 507 of the family's 1533-position model. The record is from RNAcentral.